RNAcentral lists this ribosomal RNA (1395 nucleotides) under uncultured bacterium. RNAcentral's name for it is "16S ribosomal RNA". It matches the Rfam family "Bacterial small subunit ribosomal RNA". The record is from RNAcentral.
AGAGUUUGAUCCUGGCUCAGGACGAACGCUGGCGGCGUGCUUAACACAUGCAAGUCGAACGAGAAUCUGCGGAAAGAGGAUUCGUCCAAUUGAAGCAGAGGACAGUGGCGGACGGGUGAGUAACGCGUGAGGAACCUGCCUUUCAGAGGGGGACAACAGUUGGAAACGACUGCUAAUACCGCAUGACACAUUGGGGUCGCAUGGCCUCAAUGUCAAAGAUUUAUCGCUGAAAGAUGGCCUCGCGUCUGAUUAGCUAGUUGGUGAGGUAACGGCCCACCAAGGCGACGAUCAGUAGCCGGACUGAGAGGUUGAACGGCCACAUUGGGACUGAGAUACGGCCCAGACUCCUACGGGAGGCAGCAGUGGGGAAUAUUGGGCAAUGGGCGCAAGCCUGACCCAGCAACGCCGCGUGAAGGAAGAAGGCUUUCGGGUUGUAAACUUCUUUUGUCAGGGACGAGCAGAAGACGGUACCUGACGAAUAAGCCACGGCUAACUACGUGCCAGCAGCCGCGGUAAUACGUAGGGGGCGAGCGUUGUCCGGAAUGACUGGGCGUAAAGGGCGUGUAGGCGGCAGUAUAAGUCCGGAGUGAAAGUCCUGCUUUCAAGGUGGGAAUUGCUUUGGAGACUGUACAGCUUGAGUGCGGAAGAGGUAAGUGGAAUUCCCAGUGUAGCGGUGAAAUGCGUAGAGAUUGGGAGGAACACCAGUGGCGAAGGCGACUUACUGGGCCGUAACUGACGCUGAGGCGCGAAAGCGUGGGGAGCGAACAGGAUUAGAUACCCUGGUAGUCCACGCGGUAAACGAUGAAUGCUAGGGGUAGGGGAUAUCGACCCCUUUCUGUGCCAGAGUAAAACACAAUAAGCAUUCCGCCUGGGGAAGUACGGCCGCAAGGUUGAAACUCAAAGGAAUUGACGGGGGCCCGCACAAGCAGCGGAGCAUGUGGUUUAAUUCGUCGCAACGCGAAGAACCCUUACCAGGUCUUGACAUCGAUCCAAAGCUGUAGAGAUACAGUGUGACUUCGGUCAGGAGAAGACAGGUGGUGCAUGGUUGUCGUCAGCUCGUGUCGUGAGAUGUUGGGUUAAGUCCCGCAACGAGCGCAACCCCUAUCCCCAGUAGCCAGCAGUUCGGCUGGGCACUCUGAGGAGACUGCCAGGGAUAACCUGGAGGAAGGCGGGGAUGACGUCAAAUCAUCAUGCCCCUUAUGAUUUGGGCUACACACGUGCUACAAUGGCGUAAACAAAGGGAAGCGAGCCUGCGAAGGUAAGCAAAUCCCAAAAAUAACGUCCCAGUUCGGACUGCAGUCUGCAACUCGACUGCACGAAGCUGGAAUCGCUAGUAAUCGCGGAUCAGAAUGCCGCGGUGAAUACGUUCCCGGGUCUUGCACACACCGCCCGUCA